Molecule: ribosomal RNA, 1158 nt
Filed under: Pectinariophyes reticulata
Lineage: Eukaryota; Metazoa; Arthropoda; Insecta; Hemiptera; Machaerotidae
Description: SSU rRNA
Rfam family: Eukaryotic small subunit ribosomal RNA
Source: RNAcentral
CUGUCGGUGUUAACUGGCAUGUUCUGUGGAACGUCCUGCCGGUGGCGGUCCGGGCUCUCGUUCUGCGUAAGGGUUUCCCGAAGCAGGGCGAAAAGUUCCGGCCGCCGGUUCAAUCCCGCCACGGUGCUCUUCACCGAGUGUCGAGGUGGGCCGGCACUUUUACUUUGAACAAAUUAGAGUGCUUAAAGCAGGCGGUUUCCGCCUGAAUACUGUGUGCAUGGAAUAAUGGAAUAGGACCUCGGUUCUAUUUUGUUGGUUUUCAGAACCCGAGGUAAUGAUUAAUAGGGACAGGCGGGGGCAUUCGUAUUGCGACGUUAGAGGUGAAAUUCUUGGAUCGUCGCAAGACGAACCUAAGCGAAAGCAUUUGCCAAGUAUGUUCUCGUUAAUCAAGAACGAAAGUUAGAGGUUCGAAGGCGAUCAGAUACCGCCCUAGUUCUAACCAUAAACGAUGCCAGCCAGCGAUCCGCCGAAGUUCCUCCGAUGACUCGGCGGGCAGCUUCCGGGAAACCAAAGCUUUUGGGUUCCGGGGGAAGUAUGGUUGCAAAGCUGAAACUUAAAGGAAUUGACGGAAGGGCACCACCAGGAGUGGAGCCUGCGGCUUAAUUUGACUCAACACGGGAAACCUCACCAGGCCCGGACACCGGAAGGAUUGACAGAUUGAGAGCUCUUUCUUGAUUCGGUGGGUGGUGGUGCAUGGCCGUUCUUAGUUGGUGGAGCGAUUUGUCUGGUUAAUUCCGAUAACGAACGAGACUCUAGCCUGUUAACUAGGCGAUUUCCGGUACCCAUAAUAGUGUUACCGGCGAUUCAAUUUCUUCUUAGAGGGACAGGCGGCUUCUAGCCGCACGAGACUGAGCAAUAACAGGUCUGUAAUGCCCUUAGAUGUUCUGGGCCGCACGCGCGCUACACUGAAGGAAUCAGCGUGUCUUCCCUGGCCGACAGGCCCGGGUAACCCGUUGAACCUCCUUCGUGCUAGGGAUUGGGGCUUGCAAUUGUUCCCCAUGAACGAGGAAUUCCCAGUAAGCGCGAGUCAUAAGCUCGCGUUGAUUACGUCCCUGCCCUUUGUACACACCGCCCGUCGCUACUACCGAUUGAAUGAUUUAGUGAGGUCUUCGGACUGGUGCGCGGCUGUCGGGUCUCCGGCAGCCGAUGUUGCCGGAA